GUUGAGGAGAAUGUUGGCUGGCUCGAGGCUUUUAACAAUUGAAAGUUCAUCGUAGUUUCAAUGAAGUGAAAAACUAUAAGACUUCGGACCAGGCUUCAUUCCCCUCAAA
Molecule: microRNA precursor, 109 nt
Organism: Lupinus angustifolius (narrow-leaved blue lupine)
Lineage: Eukaryota; Viridiplantae; Streptophyta; Magnoliopsida; Fabales; Fabaceae
Rfam family: mir-166 microRNA precursor family
About the family: This family represents the plant microRNA (miRNA) precursor mir-166. Animal miRNAs are transcribed as ~70nt precursors and subsequently processed by the Dicer enzyme to give a ~22nt product. In plants the precursor sequences may be longer, and the carpel factory (caf) enzyme appears to be involved in processing.
Source: Rfam